AGUUUUGAUACAGGUGCCACACGCAUCAUACAGGAUGUAGCAGAUGGGAAGGAACUGUUGACUUUAAGCAGACUCUUGAUGGGUAGCACCAAACAAACUGCAGCAAGGCUGCUAUUAGUUAUACUGCACUGCAGCAUACAGUUUUCACUUCUGGCUUCUGGGACUAGAGCACUGCAGCUACACUGCAGGUUAACCAUGGUAGAGACAAAUAAGCAUUUUGUUUGUUUUGUUUCUUGUCUUCCAGCUUGUCUUCCAGGCUAGCAUUUACAGAUUUCCAGUUUAUCACAGAACUGACUAUUAUUAGGGAUGUUAAUAAAAGUUCUGAUGCAAUCUUUUGAAUACUAGGAGUAAAAGAAAAGUUUAGAAAUGACAUUGAAAAGGGAAACUCCUCCAAACUCAACAACACUUCUGUGAGUGACCACUCUUCAGUUUCUCCACAGAAAUUCAUCCUGGUGUGCACAUCACAGGGAGCUCUGAUGAAGUAUGUUCCAGGAACAUGACCCUCCUGAGGUUAGAAACAGGAGAUGCUGAAGUCGGAUCUGAUGUGACUGCGGGGAGAGGACGAAAUCUGCAAGAACUAAAGGUGUCUGUAAACAUAGGUGAGUAUCCAUCCAUGUGGGCAAGAGGAAGCACACAGAUCCCCGAGGCUCAGGAGACCUUUGGGAGCCAAAAUUUCUCUCUGACUUUUCCCAGCACAGACUGCAACAGAAGAGAUGUUAAAGGAAGAAUUAACAGUGAUUAAACAAGAGAGGAGCUGAUUGGGAGUGAAUGCAGUCAAGGACUGUUUACACAACAUCUGAUUAUUCUGGUACCCAAGAAAGGUAUUAGUAGUGGUAGAAAAGAACUUUUUUCACAGGAGAUUAUAUGGAGUAAAUGCAGAUGCCCUUCAAGAGCACAUAUUACUUUAUUUACACCAGUACUGAAUUCAGUUCAUGGCUCCUUGCCCCAUAGGAAUUUUGGUCCAGCCUUCACUUUAAUGAACCUGGCCCACGCAGGAGAGCGACCUGGAAAAAUUUCUAUUUACUUGUAGUAAAGUGCUUCCAAGCCAUGUAAUCUUCAUUGCCUGACAAUGUGUUCUCCUACUGCAAUAACCAGUGACCUUGGAAUGAUUUGAACUGUAAAUAACUUCUGGGGCUUAUCAGACAAGGAACAGCAUAGAGAAUAGUAAAACAGUUACUGUACUUGAUACUCUGAGAACUCACCAUUAGUCUCACCUACAGUGAGGCAACUACCUCUCCAUGAAAAAUAACAGCAACUCCCUUCUCUGCGACAAGGAUCCAUGCUUUGUGAACAGAUGGUGCUCCUUUGCGUGCCAAGAAUUCUGCAGCUCACUAUUUAUUAAAUUGGACAAAGAAGACCGUAAUAAGACCAGUUCUCAGGCAUUUCACAGGAGCUGUGAGGCAUGCAUUGUUACGCUGAACUCCCAUUUACUCUGAGGACAUUUUACACUUCUGAGGAUGAAGUCUGGACGUGACAAAAUCAGUCCCACUGAUUUUUCCUUUAGCUGAUUUUUUUUUGAACCCUGACUCUAGUUUAUUCCCUUUUUCCUUUUUAUUUAACUAACUUCUGGAAGAUAAGAGCAAUUGCUUUAUUAGGCCACCAAUGCAGAUUGUGUUAGUAUCUAAAGCUGGUUAGAGAGAGGAAGCACUACUGCUUUGUCUUCAUGCUCUUCUGGUGUCUCCUUUGAGUCCCUCCUGUGACCUAGUUACACAGUUCUUCAUGAUUGCUUUACUUUCUCUUACUUUAAGUGCUCAUACUCCUCUGUCUUCAACAAUGACAUGCCAAUAGCUUCCAGCAAAGAGGAGAGCAGACUUUCUAGCUUUCUCUUGACUCAUCUCUCCACUGCAAACCAAUAUGCUAAAGCCCAGGACAACCCAAUGUGGUUCAGGAUGUUCGCUGUUUUACAGGGUGGACCUGAGAUCUUUAGAUGUGUGGUAUUUCUCAGCCUAGAUGCUGAUGUAUUGAUCUUCUCAAUUUCAAUCACCUUUUCAUCCCUGUAAUAUACUGCAAUAUUAUGAUCUCCACAAAAAAAGAGGCCAAACUGAGCUAAUCUCUGUGAAGUUGCUGUUUCCGCAAAGAACAAUCCCUGCUAUUGAUUUUGGCUAUUUGAUAUUUCUGUGUUUUAGAGAGCGCUCUGAAAGGAAAGUAUGACCCUCAAAUAGGAGUUUACAGCACUUCAUAAAGGCCUAAAGUACUUGACAAACGCAGUUAUGUAUAACCUGUAAUCACCAUCUACACAGGAAGCCUACUCUGCCCCUAGUUGUGAAAGAGCAUGUACAGUGUUUCUGCACAAAUGCCUGCAAUUGCAGUAGCAAGGCUCCUGAGAAAAGCAGCUAAGGGCCACAGGUACUAGAACUUGGACUGUUGUAUUUACUGCCAAAAGACUGAAGUUAUCUGACAGCAGCACACAUCAUUUUUUUCUGCAUUCACUGUUUAAGCUUCUCAACUUUUGUCGUCCUUUUUUUUUUUUUUUUAUUAAAGAAAAACUCUGCAUUGUGUUACCUUAAGUAGCAGACUUUAUCUUCACUUUGAAGACUGAAAAUGGAUUUCAUCUUACAUACAUCUUACAUUCAUCCUUGGACAACUUAACUCCUAAAGUAAAUGGAUUCCAAGCCCUCAGAGAUCAGAGUAGCUAAGAAAAUGUUAGUAUAGGGAAGUUGUUCAAUGGUCAAAGUCCUAUAUUUACAAGCCAUAGGAUCCUGCAUAAUCAAAUCACGUUUCUUUACAGUUCGUUCUAAAGUCACUUUCGGCAGCUGGGUAGAGAAACCACAGAACUUGUUCAUUGAAAUUCCAGUGUCUCCAGAAAUGGGAUACAGCACUGGGAGAGGAAAGAGAAGAGAAACAGCCCAGUUCCAAUUCACGACUAAAGCAUAGACAGAACGUGAGACAGUGCACUGGACAAAUGCUUGUUAAAAUGAAAAGAAAAAAAAAAGUAUUGGGAUAUUGGCAGGGUGGUGUGCAGAUGAGGAACCAAAUCUUCCAAGUAGGACAAUGGGUCACAGUCCAGCAGCAGUAGGGGUAUUUAUUGCAAGGGUCUUUGGAGAAGUGUCUU
Molecule: long non-coding RNA, 3052 nt
Organism: Meleagris gallopavo (turkey)
Lineage: Eukaryota; Metazoa; Chordata; Aves; Galliformes; Phasianidae
Source: RefSeq, a predicted model, not a curated record